UACAGAGGGGGCAAGCGUUGUUCGGAAUUACUGGGCGUAAAGGGCGCGUAGGCGGCCUUCUAAGUCGAACGUGAAAUCCCCGGGCUCAACCCGGGAACUGCGUCCGAUACUGGAAGGCUUGAAUCCGGGAGAGGGAUGCGGAAUUCCAGGUGUAGCGGUGAAAUGCGUAGAUAUCUGGAGGAACACCGGUGGCGAAGGCGGCAUCCUGGACCGGUAUUGACGCUGAGGCGCGAAAGCCAGGGGAGCAAAGGGG
Molecule: ribosomal RNA, 253 nt
Filed under: uncultured bacterium
Lineage: Bacteria
Description: partial 16S ribosomal RNA
Rfam family: Bacterial small subunit ribosomal RNA
Source: RNAcentral